Molecule: long non-coding RNA, 943 nt
Organism: Bicyclus anynana (squinting bush brown)
Lineage: Eukaryota; Metazoa; Arthropoda; Insecta; Lepidoptera; Nymphalidae
Exons: 2
Source: RefSeq, a predicted model, not a curated record
GUAAAUCCCGCUUACCUCUGCGUCAAAAUAGGCCGUCAAAAUGUUGGACUUAGUGGACACAAUCCCAUAAUACAAUCUAGUGCAAGAACUGGACAUAAAAAUAUUAGUCACAGGGAAUCGUUGGAUGGGCAGCUUAUUGUCGUAAUGUUUUAAAAUCCCUACAAAAGUUCUCCAGCAUUAGGCUCCGUCAGCUGACUUGAGUGAUAAGGAAAUGCAUUUUAAACAAGGUUAAGUAAACCCUUAUUGCAACAAACCACUAGAUAUAACCAUUACACUAAUAUUAUAAAGUUUGUGUGUAAAUGUGAAAGUGUGUAAGUAUGUUUUUUCCUCUUUUACGCUACGGCUACAGAAGCGAUUUGACUGAAACUUGGAAUGGCAAUAGAUUUUACUCUAGAUUAACACAUAGGCUACUUUUCAUCCCGGAAAAAUCCAUGGUUCCUGCGGGAUUUGUGAAAAACUUAAUUCCACGCGGACAAAGUCGCGGGCGUCCGCUAGUUAUACAUAAAUAAUUAAAUUAUUAUCUAUGAGUUGUUUAUAAACAUUGUUAGGAGAUAUAAAAAGGAGCGUUUAUCUCCUACGAGUAUAGUAUCAGUCUAACUAGAACCCUAAGAGGUAUUAAGCUAAUAACUUAAAUAAAUUAAAAAUGAGAGGAUUCUUAGUCAUUUUUGCCGUCAUAAUGGCACUCUUUUCGUUGACUUCAGCAUUGCAAGUCGAUGCCGAAGACCAGCCAGGACUAGACCGUAUAAAGCGUGAAGAUUGUGACUUCCGCGACUGUGACCAGUUCUGCAGACGCGUCGGCUUGCCUGGAGGAGCCUGCGUCAGGAAUAGAUGCGACUGUGACAGAUUUUGAUAAAACUAUUGUCUCGUAACCUAUUAUAUAACCAAGAGCCAUACCAAUGUGACACCAUACUUAAAUUAAAUCAUAUUUUAUUUAUUUAUUGCA